AUGCAAGACCAUCCUUCUCCGUGUGGCCACCACCCCCAAAUCCUCUUGGAUAAAAAAUGUUUAGUGGGCGAGUUGAAAAAUUUCACUACCGCAAAAUCCAAGAAUAGCAAAGGGGUUCACUUGGAGGUUUCUUUUGAAGCAGUUGACCCUCCAGCCAUCUCACUGUGCCUGGUCAGCUGCGUUGAUCAGACCGGGGAUCGCUUGACAGCACCGCCUCGUAUACUUGGUGUAACUGGAGGCUUUGUACUGCUGGCUAUCACCUUCUCGGACAGUGUCAACCGUUACUUGUUCAUCGACUAUUUUGUUUACAAAGCAGGGCCCGAUUUCGCCUCUCUUCAUCUUCUUGCAAGGCCAUACCCGUCUUCUUUUUCGCCAAACAUGGCUGCCAUCUUGCCUGUUAGUGAUAACAGUGAAGACUUUGCUGUCAUUUUCCCACAUGUUGAAUAUUUCAGACUUGAGUCUCGCGAACAUUACACACUCCACAUAUAUCGAUCUGACACGAAUGAUUGGCACUCUCAGGUCGCUUGUAUCGCUGAGGAUAAUGAGACAAGGAAUGCCAGGGAUAAGCUAUUGCUUCAUAAUACCAUGAGCUUGGCAUAUGCAGAAAAGGGUAUCAUAGGUUGGAUUGAUCUCUGGUGGGGAAUUCUCUUAUGCAAUGUUUUGGAUAAAAAGCCUACCAUCCGUUUUGUUCCGUUGCCAGUUCCGGAACCGUGUGAUACGUCCGAGUUCCAUUUGAUGUUUGAGAAUCUCACUCCAAGACCACACCGUCAUGUGACGAUAUUCAAUGAUUUGAUCAAGUGUGUUGAGUUAGAUUUUCAUGUGCAAGAUGCUUUCUUCAACAUGAAGCGAGCAAAGGAUUAUGGCUGGAUGGCUAAAACAUGGACUAGAUCAAUUUAUUCAGAUGUUUGGUGUGAUGGCUUGAUGAUUGAUACGUCUGAGAUAUCUUUCACUGACUCAAGUUUGCCGAAUUUGUUGCCUGGGAUGUUUGAUGAGGAAAACAAUUUGACUUGGAAGAAAUUGACUAGUGCUGGUCCUACAUUAAGCUUGCUUGAUGACAAUGUUAUUUACAUUAUGGCGAACGAGAGCAUGUGCCAUCCGACAGCAUAUGUACUUACUGUGGACACCAAAAGUUUGAAGCUCGAGUCUGGUGCGCAGUGUGCUCCUCAAAAGACGGCGUGGUUCGAACCAACAUAUGAACCGUGUGUUCUUUUUAGCUCUUUUGGCACGACUUCAGAGUUGGUUAAAGAAUUUGAAACCAAAGGGACAAUAUUUGAAAUCAAGGAAGGGCCGGUGCUCUCGGUGGUGUCGAAGCGUCUCCGCGUGCUGCGGAAGAAGCAGAAUCGCAUCGCGCAGAUGGAGGAGUCCGUCGCUGCCGGCAAGAUGCUUAACCAGGAGCAGAAGGAGCUCAUGCACUCCAAGCCCGUCAUCGCCGCGCUCAUUGACGAGCUUGAGCGCCUCCGCGUACCACUCUCCACUGCUCUCACCAAGGAGCUCUCCACCGUCCCUGCACCUGCUGCCGGUUCCUCAUCCUUUGGCUCCGAUUUGUCCAUCCAGGACCUCCUCGCGCUCAUCUACUUCGGCUCCCUUUUUUAUGUCAAGUCACCGAACGAGUUCAUCGCCACCAUGGUUGCGCGCAAGAACGAACGGAGCAGCUGCAUCACCCACGGCUACGUAUGGGAUGAUACCGUGGACCUGCUCGUGGAGAACGACCUUGACGCAGUGUCUGCUGUGGCGGCCCUUGCCGCGGCUCGCCCUUCUUCCGCAGAUGGUGUCUCCCACCAUGACGCACUCCAGGCCUGUGCCCAUCAUGCCCGCCUAUGGCUAACCCGUGCUGAUGCGCCGAUCCACCCUGGCUCCUCUGUUACAUAUGCUGCGGUGAGGUCCAAGUUAGACAGGAUCAUGGCAUCAGACUACUACACAGCACCUGCAGUUGCUGGGAACCAUGGAGCUGAAGGUCUGCAGGCACAGAUGAGCAUGACCGACUCACCAGAGGCACCAUCACUCAAGGAGACCCUAGCUGCUGAAAAUCACAAGGAGGACGAGGAAGAUUCCUCGCAUGCCACAGAAAUCGACAAUGAUCAUCAGUCUAAUGCAGCCGAUGUGCAAAAUGUGGAUGGUAAAACCCUGGUGAACCCUCGUGUGGAAUAUCGCGUGGCUGAGGCAGAGCAGGAGAAAUUUGAUGUGAAAGAACAAGAUCAGAUGGUCACCCUGCCGUUCAUCAGCUUCACCGUCACCUUCCAGGAGCAGCCGGUGUUGUUCCUGAGCUUGAACUCCGUCGGCACCGCGACGAAGUGCUUGGUGAAGUCCAGGGGCAUGGGGAUGCACUCAAGCUUCGGUGCAAGGAUGACCUUGCAGAACUCCAGCUCCAAAGCCAACCCCUUCCCUUGGGGUAUUGGCUGGAGGGCCUUCUUCCUCGGGUGGUUGGCUGGUGACCGCACCAAGUUCGAGAACACCAUGGAGGUGUGCUCGAACUUCGGCUCCAUGCCUGACAUGCAGAAGGAAUCUAAUGCAGUAUUCAUGAAGGCCAUUGCAGAAGAGCUGAAGACGUUGAUUCCUGACCCAGCGAAGGGCGCGAUGGCAGUUGACAUCAUGCGCUGGGCCAUGAAUCAGGCCGUCUCCGACGACGGUAAACAGAGGAAGAAGUGGUGCAAGUACAAGAACUACUGGGCUCCUAAUGACCGCCGUGCCGCAGUGUACUGGGAGACGGCUAUCGCGUUGCCGGCGGUCAUCGGUGGGGAGCCUAAGGAGGAAGAAGAAGCGAUGCAGAUGCCAGCAAGGGCGCCGGAGCCAGGCCGUCGUACCAGGCAGAUCGACCUCGACUCCGCCGAGAAUGACGACGAUGACCCGCCGGCCCGCACGGCGAUGAAGAAGAAGAUGAAGGCCAGCAGCUCAACCCACCGCUCCGCACGCCGGUGA
This 2916-nucleotide ribosomal RNA is filed under the name Triticum aestivum (bread wheat). RNAcentral's name for it is "partial small subunit ribosomal RNA". The record is from RNAcentral. Lineage: Eukaryota; Viridiplantae; Streptophyta; Magnoliopsida; Poales; Poaceae.